Molecule: ribosomal RNA, 209 nt
Filed under: uncultured bacterium
Lineage: Bacteria
Description: partial 16S ribosomal RNA
Rfam family: Bacterial small subunit ribosomal RNA
Source: RNAcentral
CGCGUAGGCGGAGGACCAAGUCCGGGGUGAAAUCUUUCGGCUCAACCGGAAAACUGCCUUGGAUACUGGUCUUCUUGAGGGAGGUAGGGGCAGGUGGAACUUCCGGUGGAGCGGUGAAAUGCGUUGAUAUCGGAAGGAACGCCGGUGGCGAAAGCGGCCUGCUGGAUCUCUUCUGACGCUGAGGCGCGAAAGCUAGGGUAAGGCGAACG